GUCUUGGUGUAGAAGUUAGAACACAUCCCUUUCAAAAGACUUCGAGGAAUUGCUUUUGUUUUCUUGCAAAGUGACUGUUAUUUCGCUAUAUCCUAUCUACGUAAGAGUGUUUUGGACAAGUCUCCCGCUGCCUCCAGAUGCGUCUCUUGGCUCUGCUCGUGGCACUCCUGUCCCUUGUGUGUGCCACGAGUGCCUUCUUUCCUCUCCCACGUGGUAAUGGAUUUAAUGUUCGCCAGAACUUCAGAAGAGGGCGUCCGAUAGGUGGAGGACGACCGCGACCCUACGUCUUCGAUGACUUUAUCAGAGGAAAGUAAGAGAAAAAAACACAGAGUUAGAGCGAUGUAUAAGGGCCCUUCACCAUCCGCUGGGGUCAACCUUGUCCCGUUUUCUUUUUUUUUUCUUCUUUUUUUUUGAUUGAUUGUUUGUAUAUUUUGUAUUUUGCGGUGUGAAUAAAUGAUUUAUUAUUA
Long non-coding RNA from Penaeus indicus, 467 nucleotides. RefSeq lists it as uncharacterized. The transcript is spliced from 3 exons. The record is from RefSeq and is a predicted model, not a curated record. NCBI's taxonomy places the organism in Eukaryota, Metazoa, Arthropoda, Malacostraca, Decapoda, Penaeidae.